Molecule: ribosomal RNA, 420 nt
Filed under: Triticum aestivum (bread wheat)
Lineage: Eukaryota; Viridiplantae; Streptophyta; Magnoliopsida; Poales; Poaceae
Description: partial small subunit ribosomal RNA
Source: RNAcentral
AUGGGGAAUGGGUCACAUGCUUCUGUUCGUGGCAUUGGCACGGUGGAUCUGAAGUUUACUUCGGGAAAGAUCGUGCAACUAAGGAACGUGCAGCAUGUCCCUACUAUGAACAAGAAUCUAGUUAGCGUCUCCCUUCUAUGUCGAGAUGGUUUUAAGGUAGUUUCAGAGUCCAAUAAAGUAAUCGUGUCAAGAUUUGGACAAUUUAUAGGAAAAGGCUAUGAGUGCGGAGGCUUGUUCCGCUUUUCUCUUUCAGAUUUUUGCAAUAAGUCAAUAAACCAAAUUUGUGCUAGUGUUAAUGAUGAUGCAAGUAUUUGGCAUUCUCGUUUAUGUCAUAUUAAUUUUGGUUUAAUGUCUCGGCUAUCCAGCAUGAGUUUAAUUCCGAACUUCACAGUUGCCAAAGGUUCUAAGUGCCAUAGUUGA